UACAGACGGCGUAAGCGUUAUUCGGAAUUAUUGGGCGUAAAGGGUUCGUAGGCGGUUUAACAAACUUUGUGUGAAAAGCUAGGGUAUACCCUUAGAUAUACAUUAACUGAUUGUUAUACUUGAGUUUUUUAGAGGUUGGGGGAAUUUCUGGUGUAAGGGUAAAAUCUACCGAGAUUGGAAAGAACAUCAAUGGCGAAGGCACCUUUCUGGUUUUAACUGACGCUGAGGGACGAAAGCGUGGGGAGCAAACAGG
This 253-nucleotide ribosomal RNA is filed under the name uncultured bacterium. RNAcentral describes it as "partial 16S ribosomal RNA". It matches the Rfam family "Bacterial small subunit ribosomal RNA", at positions 524 to 776 of the family's 1533-position model. The record is from RNAcentral.